GUGUUUAUUUUCUACAUGGUGUUAAUGCUGUGAGGUCAUCAACGGGAGCCAUGCUUUUACUCCUCGGUUUGCUCAGAGCCUGAUGAGUAGAGGCUAAUAUAGUUGUGUAUGGCAGUCCAGACGGCAGCAUCAAGCUUGGCUUUGUAUUUGUAUCCAUUCCAUGCAGUCACUAAAAGAGAGAGAACCGGCAGAAUUGUGUCCAGAGACUUGUCUUCCAACUACACCUCACCAGAACACAACGCAGAAAGGCCUCAGGAGAGCUUCCGUCUUCAGGGGCGGUGGGACUGGAUGGCCCAGACCUGGGUGCGUCAGCAGGUUCCCCUGACAGAGGUGCCGUUGAGCUGGAAGACGGGGGCGCUCAUAGGAGUGACAUGAGGGAUGUGCUGCAGGUGGCCACUGUAGGAGAGCAGGGGCUUCCUGUUCUUUCCCUCCACUGCUGCCUGCGCACGGUCCUCGUUCCACCUCAUCAGUCCAUCCAACAGGAAUGCCUGGAAAUGCAUUGCAAUUGCUCUGGUACCUGAGAGAACAAUGCACGAUUAGGGUGGGAGAGCUGUUGCUGUUAACGUUAAGCAAACCUCUUAAAGCUACCCCUCCACUUUUUCCAAUUUCUGCCUGAAGACAUACCCAAAUCUAACUGCCUGUAGCUCUGGCCCAGAAGCAAGGACAUGCAUAUUCUUGGUACCAUUUGAAAGGAAACACUCUGAAUUUUGUGUAAAUGUGAAUUGAAUGUAGGAGAAUUGAACACCGUAGAUCUGGUAGAAGAAAAUUCAAGGAAAUAAACAUUUGUUUUCUGUUUUUAUUGUUUCUGCAUCAUCUUUCAACUGAACAAGAACAUCCAAACAUACAGAUAGGAUGCCGG
Long non-coding RNA from Oncorhynchus tshawytscha (Chinook salmon), 859 nucleotides. NCBI's taxonomy places the organism in Eukaryota, Metazoa, Chordata, Actinopteri, Salmoniformes, Salmonidae. The record is from Ensembl.